This 468-nucleotide ribosomal RNA is filed under the name Sphaeropleales sp. YC001. RNAcentral describes it as "bacterial LSU rRNA". It matches the Rfam family "Bacterial large subunit ribosomal RNA", at positions 709 to 1149 of the family's 2925-position model. The record is from RNAcentral. Lineage: Eukaryota; Viridiplantae; Chlorophyta; Chlorophyceae; Sphaeropleales.
AAGCACCCGAAGACGAGCGACCUAGGCCUGAGCAGGUUGAAAAGCUCAGAAGUGAGUUUUGGAGGACCGAACCCGUGACUGUGGCAAUAGUCUGGGAAGACUUGGGUCUAGGAGUGAAAGGCUAAUCAAGCUCGUGCAUAGCUGGUUUUUGGAGAAAUGCAUUUAGGUGCAGCGUUGGGGUUCCGCAGGACUGCGGAACCGUAGGAAAAUAUAGAUUUGUAAGGAAAAGAAUGGGUGUGGGUGGGUCUAAGCUGCUACGCUCCCGUUCUAACUCUGAAGAGUCUAUACAUUUGCCCCAAUAGUGAGGCUCUGGGUGCGAAGGUCCAGAGCCAAAAGGGAAACAGCCCAUAAAGUACAUUAAGGUCCUCCAAUAAGAACUCCGUGGAAAAAAGAGUUAUUCGGCAUAUACCCUUCAGAGGUAGGCUUGGAAGCAGCCAGUCUGGCAUGAAAGCGUAAUGGCUCACGGAG